This 562-nucleotide long non-coding RNA is filed under the name Homo sapiens (human). Its description in RNAcentral is "HSALNT0239492". Lineage: Eukaryota; Metazoa; Chordata; Mammalia; Primates; Hominidae. The record is from RNAcentral.
AUUUACCUUUACAAAACAGUCACAUCGGUUCAGAUAAUUGUCUCUUUUCUCUCCCCUGCUUGCUUUGUAUUCUCCACAGAACGAAAGGAGGUAUUUGUGCAAUUAAUUGGCUGCUUCCUUAGUCAUCAAGCCCAUACUGAUAAAAAGGGACUAUAUCAAAACAACAUUCAUGGGCAGAUUCAAACAUUCUUCAGACCAAACACAUCAUGACUCAACAACAAAAGAAGGGUAAGAAGAAUUCUAGCUGAGGCAUAUCCAAAGCUUUGGCCCAGUGGAUUCAGGCAUGGCCCAAACCUUUUGGAGCGGAGUGGCGGCUGCCGUGUCAUGAGAGGCAGUGGAAAAUAUGACAACAGAAGAGAAGGCACUGUGACCAUGGAGGCAGCCACAAGCCAUGGGAUGCUGGCAGCUACCAGAAGCUGGGAGAAGCAAGGAAUAGAUUUUCCCCUGUAACCUUUGGAAGAAAUGUGGUCCUGUUGACAUUCUGAUUUUGGCCCAGUGAAACUGAUUUCAAACCUUCCUCCAGAACUGUGAAAGAAUAAAUUUCUGUGUUUUAAGCUGCCAA